RNAcentral lists this Y RNA (102 nucleotides) under Prolemur simus (greater bamboo lemur). RNAcentral's name for it is "Y RNA (ENSPSMG00000006185.1)". It matches the Rfam family "Y RNA". Rfam says of the family: Y RNAs are components of the Ro ribonucleoprotein particle (Ro RNP), in association with Ro60 and La proteins. The record is from Rfam by way of RNAcentral. Lineage: Eukaryota; Metazoa; Chordata; Mammalia; Primates; Lemuridae.
GGAUGGUUUGAGUGCAGUGGUGUUUAUAACUAAUUGAUCACAACUAGUUACAGAUUCCUUUAUUCCUUUCCCACUCCCACUGCUUCACUUGACUAGCCUUAA